Molecule: ribosomal RNA, 468 nt
Filed under: uncultured bacterium
Lineage: Bacteria
Description: partial 16S ribosomal RNA
Rfam family: Bacterial small subunit ribosomal RNA
Source: RNAcentral
GACGAACGCUGGCGGCGUGCUUAACACAUGCAAGUCGAACGGAAAGGCCUGGCUUUUGUGGGGUGCUCGAGUGGCGAACGGGUGAGUAACAAGUGAGUAACCUGCCCGUGACUUUGGGAUAACUUCAGGAAACUGGGGCUAAUACCGGAUAGGAGCUCCUGCUGCACGGCGGGGGGUGGAAAGUUUCGGCGGUUGGGGAUGGAAGCGCGGCAUAUCAGCUUGUUGGUGGGGUAGUGGCUUACCAAGGCUUUGACGGGUAGCCGGCCUGAGAGGGUGACCGGCCACAUUGGGACUGGGGUACCGCCCAGACUCCUACGGGAGGCAGCAGUGGGGAAUAUUGCACGAUGGGCGGAAGCCUGAUGCAGCACCGCCGCGUGCGGGAUGACGGCCUUCGGGUUGUAAACCGCUUUCGCCUGUGACGAAGAGUGAGUGACGGUAAUGGGUAAAGAAGCACCGGCUAACUACGUG